ACGGAGGAUGCGAGCGUUAUCCGGAUUUAUUGGGUUUAAAGGGAGCGCAGACGGGAUGUUAAGUCAGCUGUGAAAGUUUGCGGCUCAACCGUAAAAUUGCAGUUGAUACUGGCGUUCUUGAGUGCAGUUGAGGUGUGCGGAAUUCGUGGUGUAGCGGUGAAAUGCUUAGAUAUCACGAAGAACUCCUAUUGCGAAGGCAGCUCACUAAACUGCAACUGACGUUCAUGCUCGAAAGUGUGGGUAUCAAACAGGAUUAGAUACCCUGGUAGUCCACACGGUAAACGAUGAAUACCCGCUGUUGGCGAUAUACGGUCAGCGGCCAAGCGAAAGCAUUAAGUAUUCCACCUGGGGAGUACGCCGGCAACGGUG
RNAcentral lists this ribosomal RNA (369 nucleotides) under uncultured bacterium. RNAcentral's name for it is "bacterial SSU rRNA". It matches the Rfam family "Bacterial small subunit ribosomal RNA", at positions 525 to 896 of the family's 1533-position model. The record is from RNAcentral.